This 301-nucleotide unclassified non-coding RNA is filed under the name Hevea brasiliensis (rubber tree). The record is from RNAcentral. Lineage: Eukaryota; Viridiplantae; Streptophyta; Magnoliopsida; Malpighiales; Euphorbiaceae.
GCGCUUUUCAAUUUCGGUCGUCCAUUGAGUUCUUUGAGCCGAAAUCGAUUGACAUUGUGAAUAUUGGGCCGGCAUUUCGUAGUCACUAUGGAUCGUUUACCCCUAAUUCUCCUUUCCCCCAUUUGCACUGCGAGAUGAGAGCUUCUCCGAUGAAUGAGGAUAAGAAUGAUGAGAAUUUGAAUCUGAUGAAGCAAAACUCGAAAGAUCAGAAGCAAAUGAAUGAGGUUGCUGAAGGGUUCGAGGUUGGGCACUUGACCCGGUUACUGGGUUCGGAGGCAGCAAAUUAUACUGCUGGGUUGGA